GCUUUUCCCAUCAUUCCCUCGGUCUCUCUGGUGGCAAAUGAAAUUUAAGAUGGAUCAACAUCUGGGGCACUGUGGUGGUGGCAUAGCUGAGAUCCAGUACAGAGAGGAUGCUGAGGAAGAAGUACAUAGGGGUGUGGAGGCGCACAUCUACUCUGAUCAAGACUCAAUGGGAGGACACCACAUGAGAUCCACAGAUGCGGAGACCAAAGUCAUCUCAGAGCUAAAUAAUUGA
Molecule: long non-coding RNA, 232 nt
Filed under: Suricata suricatta (meerkat)
Lineage: Eukaryota; Metazoa; Chordata; Mammalia; Carnivora; Herpestidae
Description: lncRNA (ENSSSUG00005018635.1)
Source: RNAcentral